RNAcentral lists this ribosomal RNA (497 nucleotides) under uncultured bacterium. RNAcentral describes it as "partial 16S ribosomal RNA". It matches the Rfam family "Bacterial small subunit ribosomal RNA", at positions 28 to 507 of the family's 1533-position model. The record is from RNAcentral.
GAUGAACGCUGGCGGCGUGCCUAAUACAUGCAAGUCGAGCGAACGGACGAGAAGCUUGCUUCUCUGAUGUUAGCGGCGGACGGGUGAGUAACACGUGGAUAACCUACCUAUAAGACUGGGAUAACUUCGGGAAACCGGAGCUAAUACCGGAUAAUAUUUUGAACCGCAUGGUUCAAAAGUGAAAGACGGUCUUGCUGUCACUUAUAGAUGGAUCCGCGCUGCAUUAGCUAGUUGGUAAGGUAACGGCUUACCAAGGCAACGAUGCAUAGCCGACCUGAGAGGGUGAUCGGCCACACUGGAACUGAGACACGGUCCAGACUCCUACGGGAGGCAGCAGUAGGGAAUCUUCGGCAAUGGGCGAAAGCCUGACGGAGCAACGCCGCGUGAGUGAUGAAGGUCUUCGGAUCGUAAAACUCUGUUAUUAGGGAAGAACAUAUGUGUAAGUAAAUAUGCACAUCUUGACGGUACCUAAUCAGAAAGCCACGGCUAACUACGUG